This is a long non-coding RNA of Sapajus apella (tufted capuchin), 598 nucleotides long. RefSeq lists it as uncharacterized. The transcript has 5 exons. Lineage: Eukaryota; Metazoa; Chordata; Mammalia; Primates; Cebidae. The record is from RefSeq and is a predicted model, not a curated record.
UCUAAAACGGACUUGAGGCUCCCUCCAAGGUCAAGUGCAGACACAGGCAUAAGUACUUCCUGAAGAAGUUUUAAGUUGUUGUGGAAGCUGUGAAAAAGCUUUUUACACUGAGGAAGAAAUAGACUUGACUCACCUGCAGGAGGCUACUUGGCUGAUUACGAUAUAAGAUCUUCAGCCUAAUUCAUCCAAGGCAUCCAUCUGUCUUCAAAGAGGUUAGAAUUUUGUUCUGAAGCAGUGCAAAGAAUAAGACCAAGAACUUGAUGAGAACUAUGUGCCAGCUCCAGAAAUGAUCUAAGACCCAAGGCAGCCUACACCAAAUCAAAUAGAGAUAGUACCAGGACAUGGCACGCUUCAUUCUUUUAAAAAUAUCUACAGGAUGAAUUCAAACAAGAGCCAUGAGUCAUCUAGCAUAAUUCUAUCAUGCUGUUUCACAAAAGGUGUUUAAUAAGUAAUACUGUUUGCUUCUUGACUAAUCAAUUUGAAGAGAGACAAUUAAGCAGGAACAACAACAGAAAGAAAACAGCCAAACCUAAAAAAUUCCCUUCCACGAGUCUGGUGGCUGGAGAGAAUUUUGUAGGAAUGCUUGUAACUACCAAAA